UUUAAUGAGAGUUUGAUCCUGGCUCAGGACGAACGCUGGCGCCGUGCC
This 48-nucleotide ribosomal RNA is filed under the name Streptococcus agalactiae GB00654. RNAcentral's name for it is "partial 16S ribosomal RNA". The record is from RNAcentral. Lineage: Bacteria; Bacillati; Bacillota; Bacilli; Lactobacillales; Streptococcaceae.